AACCAGCGGAGGGAUCAUUACCGAGUUUACAACUCCCAAACCCCUGUGAACAUACCUAUACGUUGCCUCGGCGGAUCAGCCCGCGCCCUGUAAAACGGGACGGCCCGCCCGAGGACCCUAAACUCUGUUUUUAGUGGAACUUCUGAGUAAAACAAACAAAUAAAUCAAAACUUUCAACAACGGAUCUCUUGGUUCUGGCAUCGAUGAAGAACGCAGCAAAAUGCGAUAAGUAAUGUGAAUUGCAGAAUUCAGUGAAUCAUCGAAUCUUUGAACGCACAUUGCGCCCGCCAGUAUUCUGGCGGGCAUGCCUGUUCGAGCGUCAUUUCAACCCUCAAGCUCAGCUUGGUGUUGGGACUCGCGGUAACCCGCGUUCCCCAAAUCGAUUGGCGGUCACGUCGAGCUUCCAUAGCGUAGUAAUCAUACACCUCGUUACUGGUAAUCGUCGCGGCCACGCCGUAAAACCCCAACUUCUGAAUGUUGACCUCGGAUCAGGUAGGAAUACCCGCUGAACUUAAGCAUAUC
Molecule: ribosomal RNA, 522 nt
Filed under: Fusarium sp.
Lineage: Eukaryota; Fungi; Ascomycota; Sordariomycetes; Hypocreales; Nectriaceae
Description: eukaryotic LSU rRNA
Rfam family: 5.8S ribosomal RNA (bases 169-322)
Source: RNAcentral